AAAACAUGUCUUUUUGAUAAAAAUUUAAAGUCAGGUCUGCUCACUGAAUUAUUUAAAGAGCCGCAGUAUAUUGACUGUGCAAAGGUAGCAUAAUCAAUAGUUUUUUAAUUGGAAACUAGAAUGAAAGAUUAGACGAAAAAUUAAUUUUCUUUGUUUUAAUAAAUUUAAUUUUAAAUUUAAGUGAAAAUGCUUAAAUAUAAUUAAAAGACGAGAAGACCCUAUAGAUUUUUAUUAUUGAAAUGAAUUUUUAAAUUUAAUUUAAUAAAAUAAUUUAAUUGGGGCGAUUUUAUAAUAUAAAUAACUUAAUUUUUUAAAACCAUAAAUAAUUGAAUAUUUGAUCUAAAAUUUUUAAAGAAAAGAUUAAAUUACCUUAGGGAUAACAGCGUAAUUUUAUUUAAGAGUUCAUAUCUAUAAUAAGUUUGCGACCUCGAUGUUGAAUUAAGAUAAUAUAUUGGAGUAGAAAUUAAUAUAAUUAGUCGUCGAG
RNAcentral lists this ribosomal RNA (484 nucleotides) under Ptycta pikeloi. Its description in RNAcentral is "partial 16S ribosomal RNA". The record is from RNAcentral. Lineage: Eukaryota; Metazoa; Arthropoda; Insecta; Psocodea; Psocidae.